RNAcentral lists this ribosomal RNA (376 nucleotides) under uncultured bacterium. Its description in RNAcentral is "bacterial SSU rRNA". It matches the Rfam family "Bacterial small subunit ribosomal RNA", at positions 282 to 670 of the family's 1533-position model. The record is from RNAcentral.
GGUAGCCGGCCUGAGAGGGUGUCCGGCCACACUGGGACUGAGAUACGGCCCAGACUCCUACGGGAGGCAGCAGUGGGGAAUAUUGCACAAUGGGCGCAAGCCUGAUGCAGCGACGCCGCGUGGGGGAUGACGGCCUUCGGGUUGUAAACCUCUUUCAGUAGGGACGAAGCGCAAGUGACGGUACCUACAGAAGAAGGACCGGCCAACUACGUGCCAGCAGCCGCGGUAAUACGUAGGGUCCGAGCGUUGUCCGGAAUUACUGGGCGUAAAGAGCUCGUAGGUGGUUUGUCGCGUUGUUCGUGAAAUCUCACAACUCAAUUGUGAGCGUGCGAGCGAUACGGGCAGACUGGAGUACUGCAGGGGAGACUGGAAUUCC